RNAcentral lists this ribosomal RNA (330 nucleotides) under uncultured bacterium. RNAcentral describes it as "bacterial SSU rRNA". It matches the Rfam family "Bacterial small subunit ribosomal RNA", at positions 29 to 360 of the family's 1533-position model. The record is from RNAcentral.
AUUGAACGCUGGCGGCAUGCCUUACACAUGCAAGUCGAACGGCAGCGCGGGAGCAAUCCUGGCGGCGAGUGGCGAACGGGUGAGUAAUACAUCGGAACGUGCCCAAUCGUGGGGGAUAACGCAGCGAAAGCUGUGCUAAUACCGCAUACGAUCUACGGAUGAAAGCAGGGGAUCGCAAGACCUUGCGCGAAUGGAGCGGCCGAUGGCAGAUUAGGUAGUUGGUGAGGUAAAGGCUCACCAAGCCUUCGAUCUGUAGCUGGUCUGAGAGGACGACCAGCCACACUGGGACUGAGACACGGCCCAGACUCCUACGGGAGGCAGCAGUGGGGG